CUCUCUAAAGUUGGCCCAUAAGUUAUUAGGGUACCUUUCUUGUCGAUGAUAAAAUAGCAGAAAAAAACCGCCUGACCCUUCAGAUGACACAGCCUCCGGAUCACGCUUGCGUAGCGGCUAUAGUUAUCAUUUAUCUGCUACAUUAAUCCAACCAUUUACCUCUUUUGCACCACUCAUCCCUCUCUCUCUCUCUCUCUCUCUUCUUCCUUCGCUUAUUAACUUCAACAACUUCUGCCGAUUUCAUAUCCGACGGUAUGCUGCUCCGGAUCGGUUAUCAAGACGGUGUUCUCGGAAUGAAAUAGGAAGCUUGUGAACAUACUUAUGGGGUUCAUGCCGUGUACUUAGACGGCGCUUGGUAACGUGUUUUUGAUUUUGGUUUAUGGGUUUCUCAUGUUCACGGCGGUAACAUAUCUAUGUGCCGGAAGUGAGCUUCUUCUCGAGAUUGGCCCUUGAAUCGUCGGUGGUUUGUUUCUUCCCAUGGUCGGAGUACUCCCUGAUGCUAUGCUUAUUAUGGAUAGGUGAAAGUCUCUGUGGGAAUGGGUUUGCUCGCUGGCUCUACCGUUACGCUUCUUUCUAUUAUCUGGAGAACUUGCACAGUUGUUGGCAAGUGUAACAUUCGUGAUACUAUUGCUGUAAACAACCAAGACACUAGAAGCUUCCAUCUUAAAGAUUCUGGUGUUAGUGUUGAUGUUUGGACCAUUUGCUUAUUCAUCGUAGUUUUCCCUCUCACUUCAUCUACAUUUCUAAUCUGACAUGACAAGAAAGAGAAUGCAGUGGUUGAGUUUGUGUGGGUGGUGAGCGCGAAAGAAAAAUUUGUAGCAGAAACGUUGAAACAUCUGACCAUGGAGAUCACUGGUGCUAGGAGGAAGAAACUUUAUGAAGCAACAGUGUGGGUUAAGCCAAGGAUGAACUUCAAGGAGUUAUGCCGGUGAUAAUGCCCCUGCCAUUACUCCCUCCUAACUUGGCUGCAAAUAAGAUGAUCAUAAAUCUUGGAGGGAAGUUCCACGAGAUGAUUCAGUACAAUCAUUUUCUGAUCAUGCUGUCAAGAGCAUCCAACACAGAUUUAACUCAUUGUUACUUUCGUCAAGUUCCCCUUAUGCCGUUGUCUCUGGCUCUGAUGUGCUGUGUGCUUUGGUGUUGUACGGGAGUGGUGCUUUGAGAUUAAACCUAAACAACUCCACUUCUCAUGCUGUUGGUGGUGUGCAGGUCAAUAAAAAGUGUUCCAAAUGUAGGUGGCUUCUCUCCAGAGCCGGGCUUGAGGGGCCCCUACAAACUCAGGACCGGCUCUGCUUAUCUCCCACCAACACACUUCCACCAAAAAGUGAGAGUGCACCUAAGAAAGUACAAAUAGUUUAAUUCCAGGCAGAUGCCUUACUUGAUCACAAUUUUUGCUUCGUAAAUAAUGCUUUAUCAACCAUUUUAAAAUUAAUAAUUUCUCAUCAUAUCCUCUGUGUUUAGUCUUUCAAUGUAAGCAUAUUUGGUAUUCAUAAUUUUACCGGGCCGGUCACAA
Molecule: long non-coding RNA, 1510 nt
Organism: Brassica napus (rape)
Lineage: Eukaryota; Viridiplantae; Streptophyta; Magnoliopsida; Brassicales; Brassicaceae
Exons: 7
Source: RefSeq, a predicted model, not a curated record